CCAUUCUCCUGACCGAUCGGGAGAUCAUGAAGAGUCGGACGGUGUCCGACAUGCUGUCUUCCUUCUUCCCGACCAUGAUCCAGGUGAGCUCAUUUUUCUUUCUCCUCUUCAUUAUUAUUUUCCAUCAAUUCGGUUUUCUGAUAGCCGGCCCUUCGCCUACAGCUGAUCUACAAUAUGUCUGAGCUAGAGGCUGGGUACCAAAGAUUCGGCGACGUUCUGGUGGCCUGAAAGAAGAAGGCAGAGGUUGCCGAGGCCGAGAGGGCGACAAU
This 269-nucleotide long non-coding RNA is filed under the name Elaeis guineensis (African oil palm). Its description in RNAcentral is "long non-coding RNA (EGUI_LNC010905)". The record is from RNAcentral. Lineage: Eukaryota; Viridiplantae; Streptophyta; Magnoliopsida; Arecales; Arecaceae.